Molecule: ribosomal RNA, 468 nt
Filed under: uncultured bacterium
Lineage: Bacteria
Description: partial 16S ribosomal RNA
Rfam family: Bacterial small subunit ribosomal RNA
Source: RNAcentral
GACGAACGCUGGCGGCGUGCUUAACACAUGCAAGUCGAACGGCAAGGCCCUGCUUUUGUGGGGUGCUCGAGCGGCGAACGGGUGAGUAACACGUGAGUAACCUGCCCUUGACUUUGGGAUAACUUCAGGUAACUGGGGCUAAUACCGGAUAGGAGCUCCUGCUGCAUGGUGGGGGUUGGAAAGUUUCGGCGGUUGGGGAUGGACUCGCGGCUUAUCAGCUUGUUGGUGGGGUAGUGGCUUACCAAGGCUUUGACGGGUAGCCGGCCUGAGAGGGUGACCGGCCACAUUGGGACUGAGAUACGGCCCAGACUCCUACGGGAGGCAGCAGUGGGGAAUAUUGCACAAUGGGCGGAAGCCUGAUGCAGCAACGCCGCGUGCGGGAUGACGGCCUUCGGGUUGUAAACCGCUUUCGCCUGUGACGAAGCGUGAGUGACGGUAAUGGGUAAAGAAGCACCGGCUAACUACGUG